AACGAACGCUGGCGGCAGGCUUAACACAUGCAAGUCGAACGCCCCGCAAGGGAGUGGCAGACGGGUGAGUAACGCGUGGGAAUCUACCCAAUUCUUCGGAACAACUGAGGGAAACUUCAGCUAAUACCGGACACGCCCUACGGGGGAAAGAUUUAUCGGAAUUGGAUGAGCCCGCGUUGGAUUAGCUAGUUGGUGAGGUAAUGGCUCACCAAGGCGACGAUCCAUAGCUGGUCCGAGAGGAUGAUCAGCCACACUGGGACUGAGACACGGCCCAGACUCCUACGGGAGGCAGCAGUGGGGAAUAUUGGACAAUGGGCGCAAGCCUGAUCCAGCCAUGCCGCGUGAGUGAUGAAGGCCUUAGGGUUGUAAAGCUCUUUCAGUAGGGAAGAUAAUGACGGUACCUACAG
RNAcentral lists this ribosomal RNA (407 nucleotides) under uncultured bacterium. RNAcentral describes it as "bacterial SSU rRNA". It matches the Rfam family "Bacterial small subunit ribosomal RNA", at positions 29 to 484 of the family's 1533-position model. The record is from RNAcentral.